AUUGAACGCUGGCGGCAGGCCUAACACAUGCAAGUCGAGCGAGCGGCGGACGGGUGAGUAAUGUAUGGGGACUGCCCGAUAGAGGGGGAUAACUACUGGAGACGGUGGCUAAUACCGCAUCCUGUCGAAUACCCCAUAUGGGAUUAGCUAGUAGGUAAGGUAAUGGCUAACCUAGGCGACGAUCCCUAGCUGGUCUGAGAGGAUGAUCAGCCAAACUGGGACUGAGACACGGCCCAGACUCCUACGGAGGAAGCAGGGGGGAAUAUUGCAAAAUGGGCGCAAGCCUGAUGCAGCCAUGCCGCGGGGAUGAAGAAGGCCCUAGGGUUGUAAAGUACUUUCAGUCGGGCGGCGGUACCGACAGAAGAAGCACCGGCUAACUCCGUGCCAGCAGCCGCGGUAAUUC
Molecule: ribosomal RNA, 403 nt
Filed under: uncultured bacterium
Lineage: Bacteria
Description: partial 16S ribosomal RNA
Rfam family: Bacterial small subunit ribosomal RNA
Source: RNAcentral